GGGCGGGAGAAUAAAGUUGCUGCAGUGGCCUUCUCUGUGUGAUCCGCGGGCCCGGGCUGAGCAGCUGCUGUUCCCCGGGGUCUGUGCGGGGGGAGUCCGGCAUUAACCCCUCUGUGCCCGGCCGGGGGGGGCUUUCUCCAGCUGGGACCCGCCCCCUGGGCAGCCCCGGGCCGGAGACCCCCGGGUUUCCUGUUACCCAGCCUGAUGUGAUCUCCUGGCUGGAACAAGGGAAAGAGACAUGGGUCCUAGAUUUCUAGGUUUCAGAGGAAAGAGCGAUCCUGAGAGCUCCCUGCACAGGUGAGGAAACAUUAAACCAACUCAGAAUCUCAGGUGAUGCAAUGGUAUGUGAGAAAGAGGAGCAGAAUUCUCAGCCGGAAAAUGUUGAGCAAGUGGAUAAACACAGAGAAUUAUCACAAAGAUUGAAAAGAAAUGCAUUCAGGAGUCAUGAACAGGGAAAAUCAUGUGAGAAUCAGCACAGACCAGGGGAGAAAAUGGAUAAAUGUAUUUCCUGUUGGGAAACUCAGAAGAGCAUCAAGGAAAUGACAACACAGCAGGAAAUCCUCAUGGGAAAGAGGAAAAAUACAUGCAGUGAGUGUGGGAAAAACUUUACUCGAAGAUUAGCCCUUUCUAAUCAUCAGAGAAUCCACAUAGGGGAAAGGCCCUAUGAAUGCCGUGAGGGUCGGAAAACAUUCAGUCGCAGCUCGCACCUUAUUAGUCAUCAAACAAUCCACACAGGAGAGAGGCCUUAUGAAUGCUGUGAGUGUGGGAAAAACUUCGCUACCAGCUCAGCCCUUUCUGUUCAUCAGAGAAUCCACACAGGGGAGAGGCCCUAUGAACGCAAUGUGUGUGGGAAUACCUUCUCUUAGGGUAUGUCUACACUACGGGAUUAAUCCGAAUUCAUAUAAUUCGAAUUUGGGAAACAGAUUGUAUAAA
Long non-coding RNA from Trachemys scripta elegans, 933 nucleotides. RefSeq lists it as uncharacterized. The record is from RefSeq and is a predicted model, not a curated record. The transcript is spliced from 3 exons. NCBI's taxonomy places the organism in Eukaryota, Metazoa, Chordata, Testudines, Emydidae.